GGGGACGAUAGUGAACUGGUCUACGAUCAAUGCUAUAUGUAUAACAUCACAGGCAUAGAGUUUGAUCCUUCCUAUGACCCAUCGAUGAAUGGAACCGCCAGGACUAUCCCGUGCCAAGAUGGUUGGGAACACGAUAAGAGUCAGCUGAAGUCAUCCAUCAUACAAGAUUGGGAUCUAGUAUGUGACAAGAAACACUUGCCCGACUACGCUCAAUCUGUGUUUUACUCUGGCUAUUUAUUUGGAUCUAUUUCCUUUGGGGUCCUUGCAGACAA
Long non-coding RNA from Strongylocentrotus purpuratus (purple sea urchin), 272 nucleotides. RefSeq lists it as uncharacterized. The transcript has 3 exons. The record is from RefSeq and is a predicted model, not a curated record. NCBI's taxonomy places the organism in Eukaryota, Metazoa, Echinodermata, Echinoidea, Camarodonta, Strongylocentrotidae.